GACGAACGCUGGCGGCGUGCUUAACACAUGCAAGUCGAACGGAAAGGCCCUGCUUUUGUGGGGUGCUCGAGUGGCGAACGGGUGAGUAACACGUGAGUAACCUGCCCUUGACUUUGGGAUAACUUCAGGAAACUGGGGCUAAUACCGGAUAGGAGCUCCUGUUGCAUGGUGGGGGUUGGAAAGUUUCGGCGGUUGGGGAUGGACUCGCGGCUUAUCAGCUUGUUGGUGGGGUAGUGGCUUACCAAGGCUUUGACGGGUAGCCGGCCUGAGAGGGUGACCGGCCACAUUGGGACUGAGAUACGGCCCAGACUCCUACGGGAGGCAGCAGUGGGGAAUAUUGCACAAUGGGCGGAAGCCUGAUGCAGCAACGCCGCGUGCGGGAUGACGGCCUUCGGGUUGUGAACCGCUUUCGCCUGUGACGAAGCGUGAGUGACGGUAAUGGGUAAAGAAGCACCGGCUAACUACGUG
Molecule: ribosomal RNA, 468 nt
Filed under: uncultured bacterium
Lineage: Bacteria
Description: partial 16S ribosomal RNA
Rfam family: Bacterial small subunit ribosomal RNA
Source: RNAcentral